Aricia agestis (brown argus) is the source of this 232-nucleotide long non-coding RNA. RefSeq lists it as uncharacterized. The transcript is spliced from 2 exons. The record is from RefSeq and is a predicted model, not a curated record. Lineage: Eukaryota; Metazoa; Arthropoda; Insecta; Lepidoptera; Lycaenidae.
AAACGCAAAAUAUGGUCGUAACCAAGUUUCAGAAAGGGCAAUAACUAUUGGGUUAUAUUUAUUUAUUAAGUAAAUCAAAUCAGUUUUUUUAAGUCAACAUAUGCACAGCCGUUUUUAGAUGAUGGAAUUUGAUAUUCUCUGAUAAUACUGUUAUGAAAAUUUUUGUCAUACCCCUUACCAGUUGGAAUUUGUGGAGUACGCUUUGAAUAAAAAGUUUUUUUAUAAGAUCGAA